RNAcentral lists this long non-coding RNA (1562 nucleotides) under Malus domestica (apple). RNAcentral's name for it is "long non-coding RNA (MDOM_LNC012881)". Lineage: Eukaryota; Viridiplantae; Streptophyta; Magnoliopsida; Rosales; Rosaceae. The record is from RNAcentral.
CAAGAUUCAAGUCAAAACGACGGUCAGAGGGUCCAGACAUUUUCAAAGUGUUGAAGAAGUACAAGAAGGGAGUCUCUACAAGCAAAAAAUUCAAAUGUGCUUUGAAACGAACUGCAUGCCUCUAUAAAAAAUCAGCACUCGACGGGAUUUCAGAGAUCGAAAAGGCGAGCUCAGAAUUCAAAGAGGCCAAUUCAAAAAUCGAAGAGGCAAGCUCAGAAAUCGAAGAGGCAUCUUGCUUUUCCAGACGCGUCAGCACCCGUCACACGCAAACUCAGCUUUGCGGAAAUCACGGGCAAUUUGUCGAAGCGCCGAUCCUAGAUAUCGAAGAGGCGCCAGUCUUUUUUCACCAAGAUUCAAGUCAAAACGACGGUCAGAGGGUCCAGACAUUUUCAAAGUGUUGAAGAAGUACAAGAAGGGAUUCUCUACAAGCAAAAAAUUCAAAUGUGCUUUGAAACGAACUGCAUGCCUCUAUAAAAAAUCAGCACUCGACGGGAUUUCAGAGAUCGAAAAGGCGAGCUCAGAAUUCAAAGAGGCCAAUUCAAAAAUCGAAGAGGCAAGCUCAGAAAUCGAAGAGGCAUCUUGCUUUUCCAGACGCGUCAGCACCCGUCACACGCAAACUCAGCUUUGCGGAAAUCACGGACAAUUUGUCGAAGAUUUUUGAUAAAGAAGAAAGCACGUGAAGCCAUACUGAUCAAUCACUCAACGGUUGCCGACACGAGUGAAAGAAUAGUACCUCUACAGGGAUUAAAAGACUUCCUAUAACUGUCCACCUUCACCCUCCAUAGCAAGGCAGACAUACAGAACCUUUCUUCAUCUCAAAAAAAUGCUUUCCCAAUGAAGCCUCUCGAGUCACUCAGUGUUCCUUAUUCCUUGAGGUACCUCUGCAAGCAAAUGACUCCAAAGCAAAAGUAUCUCAUAUCACCAGGGUAGAAAGCAAGAGUAUCUCAUAUCAUGCUUUUUCCCUGUUCUUUCCUUUGUCCUUGUUCUUACCUACAAAGACAAGGAUAAAGAAAACAAUAUGCCGGAACCUCCACUCAAACUCGAGUAAGGAACCGACUGCUUGAAACCCUUCCCUAAUUGCCUACCUAGCACUACUCUCGAGUACUCGUCUCCCACUGCUGCUGUACUUCCAAAGAAGCUGCCACAUCUGCCUGAAGAACAGAUAAGGCAAGUGAAAAUGAUACCUUGCAGCACGUGGAGACAACGUGUAGAAGAAACAAGCAGAGAAGAAUGCAGCCUGCAGAGUCAACUCAGCAGAAGGAGUCUGAGAUGAGGAACUCGAGAAGAUGCCACAUCUGCCUGAGGAACAGAUAAAGGAAAUGAAAAUGAUACCUUGAAGCAUGUGGAGACAAGUGCAACAAAGCACGUUCUGAUUCAUCCGCUACUUCUUCAAAAUCAAAAGUAUCUCAUAUCAUCAGGGUUGCAAUCACUCUGGGUAGUGGACUCAUUUUGACCCUCAAAUUCUUGGGUCGACUCGCUAGGCGUUGUGGGCUGCACAUGCCGAUUCACCACCCUUGAAUCAAAUCCUUAAAGAUCAAGUCACCAACUGGAAGAAGAGCCCA